RNAcentral lists this ribosomal RNA (506 nucleotides) under Phrynobatrachus acridoides (Zanzibar puddle frog). Its description in RNAcentral is "partial 16S ribosomal RNA". It matches the Rfam family "Bacterial large subunit ribosomal RNA", at positions 1918 to 2607 of the family's 2925-position model. Lineage: Eukaryota; Metazoa; Chordata; Amphibia; Anura; Phrynobatrachidae. The record is from RNAcentral.
CAAAGUUUAACGGCCUCGGUACCCUAACCGAGCGAAGGUAGCAUAAUCACUUGUUCUUUAAAUAGGGACCUGUAUCAACGGCAUCACGAGGGUUGAACGUCUCCCCUUUUUAAUCAGUGAAUCUGACCUCUUCGUGAAGAAGCGAAGAUAUGAAUAUAAGACGAGAAGACCCCAUGGAGCUUCAAACAAAGUAACACCCUCUUCUACCCCUACCAUAAUAAACAAGAGCCCUGUUAACUAGCUUUUGGAUGGGGCAUCCAAGGAGUAUAAUCUAACCUCCCUGACAACUUAUCUCAGAGCUACUACUCUAAGAAACAGCAAACUGAUGUAAUAUGACCCGAUUAUCGAUCAACGAACCAAGUUACCCUGGGGAUAACAGCGCAAUCCAUUUCAAGAGUCCUUAUCGACAAAUGGGUUUACGACCUCGAUGUUGGAUCAGGGUACCCCAGUGGUGCAGCCGCUACUAAAGGUUCGUUUGUUCAACGAUUAAAACCCUACGUGAUCUG